AGAGUUUGAUCCUGGCUCAGAAUCAACGCUGGCGGCGUGCCUAACACAUGCAAGUCGAACGAGAAAGUGGAGCAAUCCAUGAGUAAAGUGGCGACCGGGUGAGUAACACGUGACUAACCUACCCUUGAAUGGGGAAUAACCUUCCGAAAGGAGGGCUAAUACCGCAUAACGUCCUAAGGAUGAAACGCCUAAGGACCAAAGGAGCAAUUCGUUUAAGGAGGGGGUCGCGGUUGAUUAGCUAGUUGGUGGGGUAAUGGCCCACCAAGGCGAUGAUCAAUAGCCGGCCUGAGAGGGCGCACGGCCACACUGUGAACUGAAACACGGUCCAGACUCCUACGGGAGGCAGCAGUGGGGAAUUUUGCGCAAUGGGGGAAACCCUGACGCAGCAACGCCGCGUGGAGGAUGAAGGUCUUUGGAUUGUAAACUCCUUUCGAUCGGGAAGAUGAUGAC
This 450-nucleotide ribosomal RNA is filed under the name uncultured bacterium. RNAcentral describes it as "bacterial SSU rRNA". It matches the Rfam family "Bacterial small subunit ribosomal RNA", at positions 8 to 455 of the family's 1533-position model. The record is from RNAcentral.